Hylaeus anthracinus is the source of this 1539-nucleotide long non-coding RNA. RefSeq lists it as uncharacterized. NCBI's taxonomy places the organism in Eukaryota, Metazoa, Arthropoda, Insecta, Hymenoptera, Colletidae. The transcript has 3 exons. The record is from RefSeq and is a predicted model, not a curated record.
GACAGGUGACAAAGUCAAAUCGAAAGGGUAGCAAUGCUGAAGAAGUCCCGAAAUUGUAUGGCGUGAAAUGGUCUGACACUUAGCAAGGCAUAUUGUUGUGCUCGUUGAGCUUGAUGUAAUGAUCUAAAAUAUAAGCAGAAGAAGGUCCCAGAAAGCACUAUAUACUAAGUAAAAGUGACUGCCAGAUUCAAAGUGAUUCAUAAAAACAAUAUUAUACUCAAUUUGCAACUUGUAGUAACCAAAUCACUCGAGAAGAGUUCUUUAUCGGCACGUUCAGUGAAUCAGUGAUAUUUGAUCGCGAUCCUUCGAGGCAUGAUUUCGUUAUGAAACUGCUAGUUUUAGAGCCGCCAACCUUGAAGACUAUAAGAGCUACUGUAUAGUCUUCGUUCUUGUUGUGCUACUUGUUGUAUGUAAGAACUGUACCUUAAAAAUCAUGCAAUGAUAAGUACAUUAAAAAAGAAAGGAAAAACUUAUUUUAUUAUAUGCUUAAAGUGUAAGAAUUUUACACUUUUAUUGACCGUUUAAGACUCUCUCGUUCUUGAUCAUCUUUUGAAAUACGAGAAAGUGAAUCUAAGAACUAAUUUAUCAUUCAAAUUAAUUCUCAUCUACAAUAGUUGUCUCCACAAAUUGCAAUAAAAUCAUUAUUAAUAACUAAGUAAUUCUAAAAAGAAUUCACCGACGGUCAAAUUCACCGACUUGGUAGUUUUAAUGUCAACCCAUUUAAACCCGGGAGGGUUAACAGCGAACCAAGCAAGAAAUGAAGAAUAUCUCGAAGAUCCACUUUGGUGAAUCGAUAACACUAGCUUCGAAAAUCUUCGAAAGAUGGGUCACGAGUGAAUCACCAAGGUAGCGCAUAGCGACGUGUCUAUUUCGAGGACCGAGGGAUACUCGGUGAGAAGUGGCAAAUGGGGUGCCGUCGUCUAUGAUUCAACGUCCGCCUCGAACCCUACCAGAAACCCGUGCGAGUUCCACACACGCUUCCCGUGUGUAUAAACUGCCAAGACGUGACGAGGAUACCCACCUGGGGCACACGUACACCCGUCGAAUGCUAUUUUCGCGGACUAGUACGAGUAAUCGUCCGAAGGACCCUGAAUGUGGGUUAACCGAGCCUCCACUCGAAGAGACCCCUUGUCUUCGGCACGAAAUGGAGGAUCGAGAUAAAUCUUAUGCGACAGGCGAACGAUGCCAGCGGUAUUUGAUACUCGUUUAACGGGUGGACGCCAAGGUGUUGCUUCACGUGGCUGUGCGAAUUUGUUUGAAUCUCGUUUACGAAUUGUGUUGAUAGUCUUUGGAGCAACAGAAAACUACGAUCGAAGGUUAUCUUAGAUGUUUUUUUUUAUUUCGAAAACCUAAGAGAGCACAGAAGUUUUUGGUCGAUGCGUAAUAUUCUUAAAUUUUAGGCUGUCCAGUUUUAAUAACUAUAGCUCUCUAUGAUUUAAUUUCGAAAUUUUCACUUCCGGGAAUAAUAAAAAUGAAAUAGUAAUUACGGUUAUAUUUUUCUCACCAAUUAACCCUUGCCAAAUUUUCCGUAGGCUUAUA